CCACGCCUCACCCUGUUUUGCAACUUCUUGUUUAUGAGCCUGGAAGCCACGAAGUGGUGGGAAAUACGAGAUUCAAAUAUCUGGUGGCCGUGUGACAAAGUGCUGGGAUUACAGGCGUGAGCCACCGCGCCCGGCCCAGGUUUCUUAUUUCAGGAGCUUCAUAGGCAUAGACCUCCCUCCUUCCCUCCUACCCCCUCCCCCCUCUCCCAACUAAUGCCAGACCGGCCACUACUUUUUAACUGUUUUACAUAUUUAACCUUCAAGAAAGAUUUCCUUUGAUCCAAGUGUAUUGCAGCCCACAAAAAAGCUUGGAAACCCAGCUAGAUGGUCUGUUUUUCUAGUUCCUACAUUGGAUUUAAGUCCUACCCAUCGAGACUACUGUCUUCAGAGGGCAUCUUCAUGUGUGGGCACCAGGGCUGCGGCUGGAACCACAGUGGACACCCCACGCUCCAAGGACAAUCCUCUGCAGAAACCAGCAGCUGGAAACAAUUCUUAAUGCUGCAGGAAGUAGUUAGGAGAAAACGACUGUGUAAGUCAGAGCUAAAACUGGAGUUCAAAAACCACAGAAAAUAUUUCCAAGGCUGUCUGUGAAGUGGGGAUGUCAAAAUACCAAAAAUUACAGCUUUGGAACUGCAGUGGAUGACCUUUAAUUGAUGCAGUUUAUAGGUGCUAAGUAUUGUGUGUGCUUUACGUUGCCUCAUGUGAGUGCUUCAUAGCAGGGUGUGACGCUGGCCAAGUGAUAUACCUACCCUCUUUGUCCCUGUUUCUAUCAACUGUAAAAUGGGGGUUCUAGAGUUGUUGUGAAGAUUAAAUGAGCUAAUACACACAAAGCACCAAGAACAAUGCUGGAUACAAGGUAAUAGGUGUUUCUUCCUAGACUUCACUAUCCUCAUGUGAGGUGGGUAUGUUUAUUUAUUUAUUUGGGGACAGGGUCUCGCUCUAUCACCCAGACUGGAGUGCAGUGUUGCA
This 969-nucleotide long non-coding RNA is filed under the name Homo sapiens (human). RNAcentral describes it as "non-protein coding LINC00921:3". Lineage: Eukaryota; Metazoa; Chordata; Mammalia; Primates; Hominidae. The record is from RNAcentral.